UACGUAGGGUGCAAGCGUUGUCCGGAAUUAUUGGGCGUAAAGAGCUCGUAGGCGGUUUGUUGCGUCGGCUGUGAAAUCCCGAGGCUCAACCUCGGGUCUGCAGUCGAUACGAGCAAACUAGAGUGUUGCAGGGGAGACUGGAAUUCCUGGUGUAGCGGUGAAAUGCGUAGAUAUCGGAAGGAACACCAAUGGCGAAGGCAGCCGCCUGGGCCUGAUCUGACACUGAGACACGAAAGCGUGGGGAUCAAACAGG
RNAcentral lists this ribosomal RNA (253 nucleotides) under uncultured bacterium. RNAcentral's name for it is "partial 16S ribosomal RNA". It matches the Rfam family "Bacterial small subunit ribosomal RNA", at positions 524 to 776 of the family's 1533-position model. The record is from RNAcentral.